RNAcentral lists this transfer RNA (86 nucleotides) under Acetobacteraceae bacterium. RNAcentral's name for it is "tRNA-Leu". It matches the Rfam family "tRNA". From Rfam's summary of the family: Transfer RNA (tRNA) molecules are approximately 80 nucleotides in length. Their secondary structure includes four short double-helical elements and three loops (D, anti-codon, and T loops). Further hydrogen bonds mediate the characteristic L-shaped molecular structure. tRNAs have two regions of fundamental functional importance: the anti-codon, which is responsible for specific mRNA codon recognition, and the 3' end, to which the tRNAs corresponding amino acid is attached (by aminoacyl-tRNA synthetases). tRNAs cope with the degeneracy of the genetic code in two manners: having more than one tRNA (with a specific anti-codon) for a particular amino acid; and 'wobble' base-pairing, i.e. permitting non-standard base-pairing at the 3rd anti-codon position. Lineage: Bacteria; Pseudomonadati; Pseudomonadota; Alphaproteobacteria; Acetobacterales; Acetobacteraceae. RNAcentral also lists the same sequence under 2 other names. The record is from RNAcentral.
GCGGGCGUGGCGGAAUGGCAGACGCGGCAGACUCAAAAUCUGUUGUCCGAAAGGACGUGGGAGUUCAAGUCUCCCCGCCCGCACCA